AACAUUUAGAAAUUCUGUGGGCGUCGACGCGAACAGCAAAUGACAAUAACAAGACAAGGAAAACAGUAGUUCACAUAAGCAGCAUCAGAGACCAUAGAUUCUCCAAUUAAGGGGAAAACCCAGUUCACCAAAUUUCCAUAAAAUGAGAGAAGAGAGCAAAUACCAAUUCUCUGGCACGCUUAGCCCGGCGUCGAAUCGAGCGAAAGAGAAAUACAUUGAUAGCUCCCGUGAGGAGCAAACUGGUGGCGACCUGCAACGGAGAAGGGUCGUCUGUGGUGGCGAAUAAGUUGGAAGAAGACGACGGUAGCUCUAUUGGACGCUCUUCCGCCGUGGUGUUGGUGGAGUGUUGGAGCUCGGCGAGCCAUGUGUCCAACAUCAUUUGUUUGCGCAAUUGUGGAGCUUUAAAAGCAAAGCAAUUUGGGGUUCUUCUGUUUCUCUUUGGGUCAGUUCUUGUGGUUAUCUUUUUGUGUGUAUUGAGAAUAAUAUAACCACUUUGGUGAUCCCUACUUGGUGAAUCUCUGUGUGUCAAACCAUAUGGACUUGGGAGGUUUUGAGUUUAUCAGUUCUGACACUCAAUAAGCCAGCUACUGCUAAUUUUGGCAGCAUCAGGAGCCCAAUCCUGCAUCAUAAUUAGAACAUGUUCGGUGCUUUGAAUCGUUUAGAAAAUGGUAUCGACGAGGCAGCCAAUUCAUACCAAAUCGAAUAUAUGUAGCUGCGAUGAAAUGUAUGGAAGCUCUAGAAAUCUGAAGGCAUGAUGUGCAGGUGAAAUGUGUAAGUAUUCACUGCUGUAAUACUUGCUAAAGCUGUUGAUCCUAAUACCUAAUAUAUAUAUUCACAGUAGUAAUACACUCUGCACUGUGUCUUCUGCAACUAAGGAGAUCAUAAGAUCUGCAGAUUUCUACGUGCACGUCUGCUUCUAUAUCUCUAGAAAGUGAUUUCUGAACAUGAACUGUUAAAUUCUGGUCUUACCCUUGGUAGGAAACUACAUACAUUACUGAUAUUACCUAAAAUGUUGUGUUU
Molecule: long non-coding RNA, 1020 nt
Organism: Tripterygium wilfordii
Lineage: Eukaryota; Viridiplantae; Streptophyta; Magnoliopsida; Celastrales; Celastraceae
Exons: 2
Source: RefSeq, a predicted model, not a curated record